This 603-nucleotide long non-coding RNA is filed under the name Gallus gallus (chicken). RNAcentral describes it as "long non-coding RNA NONGGAT004898". Lineage: Eukaryota; Metazoa; Chordata; Aves; Galliformes; Phasianidae. The record is from RNAcentral.
GGGGGAAACAUUUUCUUUUCCAAAGGACACACGAGAAGAGCUCUCAGAACAGCACCACCCAGCAUCCCCACACCAACGCCUUGGUUUGGUACCUGGAUGGCCAAGCACUCCCAGCAGUCACACCUGACCUGGAAGGAGAGAAGCACAGCUGUGCUGCUGCACACAAGGACAAAGCCAUCCAGCCAGGCUGCAAGUACGAUCAUCCUCUCACAGGAGGGCCCAUCAGAUGCUCCAACACAUCACAAGCUGCUAUUAUUAAGAAAACAGUCGCCCAUGACGAAGAAGCUAACGAUGUUUCAAACCUCAUCCCAUGCCUCCUUCCUACCUGGGACCCACACGCAGCCCCCAGGCUGCUACCUGCCCCAGCCCCGUGCUCAGAACGGAGCCAUUGGUGCAGCCACAGCUCAUCCUUGGACACCUCUGACAAAACCCAAACGAGCGCCGACCACAAUAAAGGAAAGCCCAUACACACACACUGCAUCCAGGAAACGGCUUUUGCUUGAAGGAAAGAAACCACAUAACCAAAACCCUCCCCACCACACACUCCGCCCUCCGUCACAUCACAGGAAUAAAUCAAAUAGUUCAAACUCACUGAGCCCGACA